GACGAACGCUGGCGGCGUGCCUAAUACAUGCAAGUCGAACGCACUCUCGUUUAGAUUGAAGGAGUUUGCUCCUGAUUGAUAAACAUUUGAGUGAGUGGCGGACGGGUGAGUAACACGUGGGUAACCUGCCCUAAAGUGGGGGAUAACAUUUGGAAACAGAUGCUAAUACCGCAUAAAACCUAACACCGCAUGGUGUAGGGUUGAAAGAUGGUUUCGGCUAUCACUUUAGGAUGGACCCGCGGUGCAUUAGUUAGUUGGUGAGGUAAAGGCUCACCAAGACCGGGAGGCAAGCCCACACUGGGGGGGAAAACGGCCAAAAGGGGAAUAAGAAACGGCCAAGACUCCAACGGGGGGAAGAGGUAGGGAAUCUUCAAAAAGGGACGAAAGUCUAAGGGAGCAACGCCGCGUGAGUGAAGAAGGUUUUGGGAUGGUAAAACUCUGUUGUGGGAGAAGAAUGUAUCUGAUAGUAACUGAUAAGGUAGUGACGGUAUCAAACCAGAAAGCAACGGCUAACUACG
This 518-nucleotide ribosomal RNA is filed under the name uncultured bacterium. RNAcentral describes it as "partial 16S ribosomal RNA". It matches the Rfam family "Bacterial small subunit ribosomal RNA", at positions 28 to 505 of the family's 1533-position model. The record is from RNAcentral.